AGUGGGGAAUAUUGCACAAUGGGCGAAAGCCUGAUGCAGCUAUGCCGCGUGUAUGAAGAAGGCCUUCGGGUUGUAAAGUACUUUCAACAAGAAAGAAAUAAUAAAAUUUAAUAAAUUUUAUUACUGACGUUACUUGUAAAAGAAGCACCGGCUAACUCCGUGCCAGCAGCCGCGGUAAUACGGAGGGUGCGAGCGUUAAUCGGAAUUACUGGGCGUAAAGAGCACGUAGGCGGUAUAUUAAGUCAGAUGUGAAAUCCCUGAGCUUAACUUAGGAAUUGCAUUUGAAACUAAUAUACUUGAGUUUCGUAGAGGGGGGUAGAAUUCCAGGUGUAGCGGUGAAAUGCGUAGAUAUCUGGAGGAAUACCAGUGGCGAAGGCGACCCCCUGGACGAAUACUGACGCUCAGGUGCGAAAGCAUGGGUAGCAAACAGGAUUAGAUACCCUGGUAGUCCAUGCUGUAAACGAUGUCGACUUGGAGGUUGUAAGCUUGACUUGUAACUUUCGUAGCUAACGCGUUAAGUCGACCGCCUGGGGAGUACGACCGCAAGGUUAAAACUCAAAUGAAUUGACGGGGGCCCGCACAAGCGGUGGAGCAUGUGGUUUAAUUCGAUGCAACGCGAAAAACCUUACCUGGUCUUGACAUCCAUAGAAUUUAGUAGAGAUACUUUAGUGCCUUCGGGAACUAUGAGACAGGUGCUGCAUGGCUGUCGUCAGCUCGUGUUGUGAAAUGUUGGGUUAAGUCCCGCAACGAGCGCAACCCUUGUCCUUUGUUGCCAACGGUUCGGCCGGGAACUCAAAGGAAACUGCCGGUGAUAAACCGGAGGAAGGUGGGGACGACGUCAAGUCAUCAUGGCCCUUACGACCAGGGCUACACACGUGCUACAAUGGUAUAUACAAAGGGAAGCAUCCUCGCGAGAGUAAGCGGAUCUCACAAAAUAUAUCGUAGUUCGGAUUGGAGUCUGCAACUCGACUCCAUGAAGUCGGAAUCGCUAGUAAUCGUAGAUCAGAACGCUACGGUGAAUACGUUCCCGGGCCUUGUACACACCGCCCGUCACACCAUGGAAGUGGGUUGUAAAAGAAGUAGGUUGCUUAACCUUUAUGGAGGGCSCUUACC
Molecule: ribosomal RNA, 1113 nt
Filed under: bacterium endosymbiont of Plateumaris frosti
Lineage: Bacteria
Description: bacterial SSU rRNA
Rfam family: Bacterial small subunit ribosomal RNA
Source: RNAcentral